UACGGAGGAUGCAAGCGUUAUCCGGAAUGAUUGGGCGUAAAGCGUCCGCAGGUGGCAAUGUAAGUCUGCUGUUAAAGAGUCUAGCUCAACUAGAUAAAAGCAGUGGAAACUACAUAGCUAGAGUACGUUCGGGGCAGAGGGAAUUCCUGGUGUAGCGGUGAAAUGCGUAGAGAUCAGGAAGAACACCGGUGGCGAAAGCGCUCUGCUAGGCCGCAACUGACACUGAGGGACGAAAGCUAGGGGGGCGAAUGGG
Molecule: ribosomal RNA, 253 nt
Filed under: uncultured bacterium
Lineage: Bacteria
Description: partial 16S ribosomal RNA
Rfam family: Bacterial small subunit ribosomal RNA
Source: RNAcentral